RNAcentral lists this unclassified non-coding RNA (322 nucleotides) under Coprinopsis bellula. RNAcentral's name for it is "Coprinus bellulus partial internal transcribed spacer region". The stretch from base 1 to 46 matches the Rfam family "Eukaryotic small subunit ribosomal RNA", at positions 1786 to 1831 of the family's 1831-position model. The record is from RNAcentral. Lineage: Eukaryota; Fungi; Basidiomycota; Agaricomycetes; Agaricales; Psathyrellaceae.
AAGUCGUAACAAGGUUUCCGUAGGUGAACCUGCGGAAGGAUCAUUAUUGAAUAAAUCUGGCAAGGUUGUAGCUGGCUCUCUGGAGUAUGUGCACACCCUGUCACCUUUAUCUCCCUUCCUGUGCACCAAUUGUAGAUCUGGAUAACCCUCGCUGAAAGGCGGAUGCAGAGACUGCUGCUGCCUUCUAAUGUAAGGCCAGCUUUCUUUGAAUUUCCAGGUCUAUGAUCUUCACAUACCCCAAAUGAAUGUCAUAGAAUGUUUUUGUAUGGCCUUUGUGCCUAUAAAGUCAAUACAACUUUCAGCAACGGAUCUCUUGGCUCUC